This 497-nucleotide ribosomal RNA is filed under the name uncultured bacterium. RNAcentral describes it as "partial 16S ribosomal RNA". It matches the Rfam family "Bacterial small subunit ribosomal RNA", at positions 28 to 507 of the family's 1533-position model. The record is from RNAcentral.
GAUGAACGCUGGCGGCGUGCCUAAUACAUGCAAGUCGAGCGCACGGACGAGAAGCUUGCUUCUCUGUUGUUAGCGGCGGACGGGUGAGUAACACGUGGAUAACCUACCUAUAAGACUGUGAUAACUUCGGGAAACCGGAGCUAAUACCGGAUAAUAUUUUGAACCGCAUGGUUCAAAAGUGAAAGACGGUCUUGCUGUCACUUAUAGAUGGAUCCGCGCUGCAUUAGCUAGUUGGUAAGGUAACGGCUUACCAAGGCAACGAUGCAUAGCCGACCUGAGAGGGUGAUCGGCCACACUGGAACUGAGACACGGUCCAGACUCCUACGGGAGGCAGCAGUAGGGAAUCUUCCGCAAUGGGCGAAAGCCUGACGGAGCAACGCCGCGUGAGUGAUGAAGGUCUUCGGAUCGUAAAACUCUGUUAUUAGGGAAGAACAUAUGUGUAAGUAACUGUGCACAUCUUGACGGUACCUAAUCAGAAAGCCACGGCUAACUACGUG